UGACGGCUCAGAGCCUGGAGCCUGUUUCCGAUUCUGUGUCUCCCUCUCUCCCUGCCCCUCCCCCGUUCAUGCUCUGUCUCUCUCUGUCCCAAAAAUAAACGUUGAAAAAAAAAUAAUAAUAAAAUAAAAUAAACAUUAAAAAAAAUUAAAAAAAAAAAAGAUAAGCUGUAAGGAGGAACCUAAUCAAUCAGAAAGGAAAAACUGAGGUCAGAAUGGAGGUAAUUGAAGUCCCUUCAGGCGGAUACAUGAUUUGCUUAAUAAAGCCAAUUAGAUCUUCAAAUUUACUUGGGUUGAAUUUUGUGGUUUAACAGCCUUUCAGCAGAUUUGAAUCUGGUGGGUGCCAGUCACUCUCUGCACCAUGGAAGUCGUCCAGAUAGCCACCUUAGCCUCUUCCCUGGCUUCUAAGAUGGUGGCAUCCAAGGUGAUGGCAGUGAGCCUGGCCCAAGCCACCUCAGCAGCCUGUGGCAGUGCCCUCGCCGGACUUCCGUCCGCAGCACAAGCAGCAGCUCAGGAUGGAAUGGGGAGGACCGGGCCCCUGACCACUGCCGACAUCUGACCUCUGACACUGUGCAUUCACCCUCUGUUCUUCCGCGGGAGUCACCCUGUCAUCCACAGCUGCCCUGAGCCAGGCCACAGCUUCCCUGGGAUCUCUGCUGGGGACACUGAGUGGCUCCUCCCUGGUGGAAUCCCCUGCUGCGGCCUUGACCAUCUCCCCACUUGGAGGACCCUGACCUCGGUGUUUGUCGCGCCGGCCGCGACAGAAGACAACACUGACCCUCAUGUAUGAAUGAAGGAACGUUGGCCAAAAGCCCUGGACCAGGAGUCAAGGUUGGCGCAGCUGUGAUGGGAGGAGGUGAGUCUCUGCAAGGAAGAGGUUCAAGUCCUUAUCUGCCCCCCCAGCCCCAAGGACUUGGGGAGCAACCAUCCUCGUCCAGGCCCAGGUUUGCCUCAGCCUCGUGUGGAUUGGUAGAGAUGGGCAGGAAGCAAGGAACUGGAAACAAGAAAUGAAGGGGCCUCUGUAGUAGGAUGAUUGCUCAGCAUGGUGCCCAGUGACCCUCACCCUUUUUAAAAAAAAAUUUUGUUUUCAUAUUUAUUUAUUUUUGAGGUUGAGAGAGAGAGAGGGACACAGCGUGAGUGGGGAAGGGGCAGAGAGAGAUGGAGACACAGAACUCAAAGCUGGCUCCAGGCUCUGAGCUGUCAGCACAGAACCUGAUGCGGGGCUUGAACCCGUGAGAUCUUGACCUGACCCGAAGUCAGAUGCUCAACUGACUGAGUCACCUAGGCACCCUGACCCUCACCCUUCUAUACUCCUCCCACCUUUGGAGUGCCGGGGGCGGGGAGGGGGGGGGUCAUGUGAACAUGGUAAGAUACCACUCCCAUAAUCAUGUUAAGUUAUAUGACAGAAGGGAGGCCAGGCGGAUGUGUCUAAUCUAUUCACAUGAGCCCUUUAUUUUUUAAUAUUUUAUUUUUUUGAAAUAUUUAUUUAGUUUUGAGAGAGAGAGAAUAAGCAGGGGAGGGCCAGAGAGAAACGGAGACACAGAAUCCAAAGCAGGCUCCAGGCUCUGAGCUGUCAGCACAGAGCCCAACACCGAGCUCGAACUCACGAACUAUGAGAUCAUGACCUGAGCCAAAGUUGGACGCCCAACUGACCGAGCCACCCAGGUGCCCAGUCACAUGAACCCUUUAAAAGCAGAGAAUGUUCUCUGCUCUUCACAGAGGAGGAAUCAGAGAUUGGAUUGGAGGGGGAUUUGAAGUUUCUUACCACGGGUUCCGAAUGAGAGCCCAGUCUGGCUGAACACUUGAUUUUGGUCUUGUAAAACCUAGACAGAGAACUCAGGCCCUCCUGGACUUUUGGCCUGCGCUAAAAUGUAAGAACUGGGCAUUAUUUUAAGCGCUGACUUUGUGGUCAUUUGUGAGGCAGGUUAGAAAAACAGCAGAGGCCUGCUAUCGCCUUUCCCUUCACCAGGCCGAGGGGUGUUCCCUCGGGAGCUGAAUGAACACGCUCAGGCAACCCCAGGAUUCCUGAAAUUCCUGGCUUCACUAGGUGCCCAACUCUGGGUCCUGCGCCUGUGAGAUUCCAGGGGCCCCUGCCUGCCCGCAGGCGCCCCCGCUAUCAGGGGAAGCCAGGCCCCUCCACGGCUAACCAUCUUCCGGCACACGAUGGCCGGCAUGCUGCAGGGAGGAGCACAGGGAGGCACAUUCUCACUGUGCGGGUCUAGGAUGGCCUCCUGUCCAGAUGGGCGUCUUCAGCAACACCGUAGAGGCUGCUGGGAGUUGCUCAAUGUCUACUCCUUCCUUCUGGCUCACGUGAUUUCUGGGCCUGAUUUCCAGCUAGGUGCAUGAUCUCCAGGGGAAGGACUGCCAUUUUCAGUCUCUCUUGCUGCUGGGUGUGCUCGCUCAGCGGGGUUCUUCUGGCCGGUGAAAGAUGAGUAGAACGAAGUAUACGAUGCUCUGGGGAUAAGCAGUUAAAGGGGAGCCGGUGGACCCGCCUUUGCCCCUCGUCCCCUUCCCGUGACUUCUGCUGCAGGCGGGGGAGUGGCCAUCAUGAGCCAGCGGAUGACAGCAGCACCUUAAGGAAGGCAGAACAAGACUGCAGGAGACUGGGCCCCCAGGAGCAGAGCCACCCUCUCCCCCACACCCCAGCCGAGACUCAUGACUGAGUAACAGAAAGAAACUUCCCUUGUUCGAGUCAAGAGGGUCUCUUUCACACCAAGCAGACAUAUAUUCUAGUGAACACAGUUGGGUAUCUUGAUGACCAUAGAGGAAUCAGUCCAACAGAGGGUUGCAUUUACCUGUUCCUUCUCCAUACACCACUAAAAUAACGGUAACAGACCAAAGAUGCUUAGAACCACAAGGGCAAAGAGGACCGGGAAGGUGACAGUAACACUACAUUAGGAGCUGGAAAUCACACAGCCAUGUGGUUCCCCACUUAGCAGUCCCGAGAAAGCUGAAUCUUAAGUUGUCAGUGGAGGAGGGGAGAAAGAGGCAGCUCUGCCCGGGAUGACCCCCCAGGGCUCAGCUUCUGGAAGGUGCCAUUGCGGUGGGCCAGCACAAGUCUGUUGGAUGUCUGUUAUAGGAAUGAGGCAGAUCCCCAGAGAUCCCCUCCAGCAGACCACUGGCACUUGAUUUUUGGCAAGGCUGGGUCUCUGGGACAAGGGGCACCAGGUACUGCUGAGAGCAGGACCUUUGUACUAGAACUGAGUUCUCCUACAAGCGUUGAGACCCUCGACCUUCAUCGAUAGGUCCCCAGAAUGCUGGUGGCCAGGUUACAACGCUCAGAAUAAAGGGAGGAAGAUUCUUCUCA
This 3304-nucleotide long non-coding RNA is filed under the name Felis catus (domestic cat). RNAcentral's name for it is "lncRNA (ENSFCAG00000047537.1)". The record is from RNAcentral. Lineage: Eukaryota; Metazoa; Chordata; Mammalia; Carnivora; Felidae.